Phycodurus eques (leafy seadragon) is the source of this 588-nucleotide long non-coding RNA. RefSeq lists it as uncharacterized. The record is from RefSeq and is a predicted model, not a curated record. The transcript is spliced from 2 exons. Lineage: Eukaryota; Metazoa; Chordata; Actinopteri; Syngnathiformes; Syngnathidae.
AAAAGGACCAGGAGGACACACGAGUUCACCUUCAGAGAGAAAGCGAGAGCGCUUGGGGCAUUCAUAUAGUCAAGGAGGAGAAGAAAGGGCCUAUUUCUGCUUCUAAUGCAUUGAGGAAAAAGCAUAACGUUGACGCUGUUCCUGCAGCUCUGCAGCCGGGUGGUGAAGCUGGACGUGGUAGGCGAAUUGUAAUCCUCUGUGGUCUCCGAGAGGAACUCGGAUACCGAUAUCUGAUCCGGCAUCCUCGACGGCGGAUAAUGGCCAGCUGGGUGGGUAGAUGGGGGGGGAUUGAGGAGCGAGAACUUCAGGGGGAACACAGCAUGUAAACGCGGGUUGUGGAGUGGGGGGAGAAGCAGGGCGAGUCCGAGUGAGUGAGGGGGGGGUGAGAAAGCGGAUUUUCCUUGUCGCUACGGAGAUGAUUAAGUCUCGUUUUUCCCCUCACAGAUGACUUCACUGCUCCCGGGGGGGUGGGGUGAAAGAAUUAGCUCGAUUUUUAGACGGAAAGGGGAGCGUGUAAACGUCUAAAAUAGCGCGUCUAACUCGACCUCGGAAGGAGGAUAGCGGAUGGCCACAUUAUGCUCUACAGAU